GACGAACGCUGGCGGCGUGCUUAACACAUGCAAGUCGAACGGAAAGGCCCUGCUUUUGUGGGGUGCUCGAGUGGCGAACGGGUGAGUAACACGUGAGUAACCUGCCCUUGACUUUGGGAUAACUUCAGGAAACUGGGGCUAAUACCGGAUAGGAGCUCCUGCUGCAUGGUGGGGGUUGGAAAGUUUCGGCGGUUGGGGAUGGACUCGCGGCUUAUCAGCUUGUUGGUGGGGUAGUGGCUUACCAAGGCUUUGACGGGUAGCCGGCCUGAGAGGGUGACCGGCCACAUUGGGACUGAGAUACGGCCCAGACUCCUACGGGAGGCAGCAGUGGGGAAUAUUGCACAAUGGGCGGAAGCCUGAUGCAGCGACGCCGCGUGCGGGAUGACGGCCUUCGGGUUGUAAACCGCUUUCGCCUGUGACGAAGCGUGAGUGACGGUAAUGGGUAAAGAAGCACCGGCUAACUACG
RNAcentral lists this ribosomal RNA (466 nucleotides) under uncultured bacterium. RNAcentral describes it as "partial 16S ribosomal RNA". It matches the Rfam family "Bacterial small subunit ribosomal RNA", at positions 28 to 505 of the family's 1533-position model. The record is from RNAcentral.